This is a long non-coding RNA of Colletes gigas, 895 nucleotides long. RefSeq lists it as uncharacterized. The transcript is spliced from 4 exons. The record is from RefSeq and is a predicted model, not a curated record. Lineage: Eukaryota; Metazoa; Arthropoda; Insecta; Hymenoptera; Colletidae.
CCAGCCCGAAUGGGAAAUUAUAAUUAAUUAAGGUAAUUGGACAUUAGCGACCGAUCUUGCCGGUACUAAUGGCGCGCCCUACUCUGCUCUUAAUUGAGUUAGCAGCCGCUUUUGAGGAGGCCCCGUAUCGCUGAUAGCCGGCCCUAAUCGUAUUCCUACGGCAGACUCGAUAGAACAGCUAAUAGCAUCGUCGUCGACGAGCCAUAGUCUUCCAAGUCGUUGCGUGAGGCUUGAUGGAGUCGUUGUUAGAAGGUUUGCAGAAUGGAGCAAAGUCACACACCGUCGUACGAAGCUUCGACUCAGCCCCGAGACAAUGCAAGACAUAUUGAUAAGGAAAUCUCCACACAUUGGCAAGGUCGACGGCGAAUCCGAUAACAGAUAAAAGGAAGUCGACUUUGCCUGACCAGGUCUCUCUGCCAUCAACGCCGACGUCAAACUUGGCAGGAUUCUUCACCACCCUCGACGACAUGUCUCGCUUUCCUGCAAGAAAUCGACCGAUUAAUCUACAAAUUUUCAGUAUCGACGCCAUCGUACAUAAUAUAAACACUGUCUGCAUAUUAUCCAGGGGAAAAAUGAAAUCCGCCUCCGUGUACAUUACAUAACCGAUCACGGUGGACGGCGAUUUAAAUUGCGGAGUCAGAGAGAGAGUACCUACACUCCAGGGAUCUCCGAUAUGAAAUGCGGCAACAGAUCGAGAUCCAUCGAGCGGACAGGGGAAUCCCGAUCGAGUUGACAAGCAUAAUGGGUCCUCGUUCUCGCGAUCGUUUAUGGGUGGUCUGGGAGAACCUAUCGCCUUACGGGGCGUCCCCGCGAGGACGGACUGUGAAAUGAAUCGCACGGUCGGGAUGACGGACCAUCGGAAAAUCGGCAUGCGAGAUUUGAAAAGUGAACCGCG